This 432-nucleotide ribosomal RNA is filed under the name uncultured bacterium. Its description in RNAcentral is "partial 16S ribosomal RNA". It matches the Rfam family "Bacterial small subunit ribosomal RNA", at positions 29 to 507 of the family's 1533-position model. The record is from RNAcentral.
AACGAACGCUGGCGGCAUGCCUAACACAUGCAAGUCGAACGAGACCUUCGGGUCUAGUGGCGCACGGGUGCGUAACGCGUGGGAACCUGCCCUUAGGUUCGGAAUAACUCCCCGAAAGGGGUGCUAAUACCGGAUAAUGUCUUCGGACCAAAGAUUUAUCGCCUUUGGAUGGGCCCGCGUUGGAUUAGCUAGUUGGUGGGGUAAAAGCCUACCAAGGCGACGAUCCAUAGCUGGUCUGAGAGGAUGAUCAGCCACACUGGGACUGAGACACGGCCAGACUCCUACGGGAGGCAGCAGUGGGGAAUAUUGGACAAUGGGCGAAAGCCUGAUCCAGCAAUGCCGCGUGAGUGAUGAAGGCCUUAGGGUUGUAAAGCUCUUUUACCCGGGAUGAUAAUGACAGUACCGGGAGAAUAAGCUCCGGCUAACUCCGUG